RNAcentral lists this long non-coding RNA (286 nucleotides) under Linum usitatissimum (flax). RNAcentral's name for it is "long non-coding RNA (LUSI_LNC007925)". Lineage: Eukaryota; Viridiplantae; Streptophyta; Magnoliopsida; Malpighiales; Linaceae. The record is from RNAcentral.
UUCAUUGGCUGAUCUUUUUUUAAAUAAUUCUAAAUUAAUACCCAAAUAUUUUGACAAUGCAACUAAAUCACCCAAAUUUAUUCGAUUUAUUCUAUUGACUUUCCUUCCAUUAUUUCUAUUUAAUUUUUCUUUAUCUUUUUAUUUUUCUUAUCUUCCUCUCUUCUUGUUCGAAAACAUUCAACCCUUUUGUCAAAAAAAAAAAAAAUUCAACCCUCCUCCCUCCACCAUUAACAAACAAAAAAAAAUCCUUCUCUACCAUAAUCGAAAACAUUCGACAUCUCAACUU